AAGAGGAUGAAAAUCUAGCUGGCAAUCAAAACAGGAAAUAUGAUCAGGCUCAGCCACACCUUAAUGAACAUAAAGAGCUACUUCAUUCAAGGCCAGGAUAUGUUCUAACAGCUGAUUCAAUGAAAGAGGUUAUUGAACAAUCUCUGAAAACUGUGAAUUAAAGAGUCGGAGCAAUUGUAGAUACAUGCACAGAAAAUGAAGAAAAAACUCUACUGAAACCAUGGCUUAGAUAUCAACAUAAAAUAACUUCUUUUAUCA
Saccostrea cuccullata (small rock oyster) is the source of this 258-nucleotide long non-coding RNA. RefSeq lists it as uncharacterized. Lineage: Eukaryota; Metazoa; Mollusca; Bivalvia; Ostreida; Ostreidae. The record is from RefSeq and is a predicted model, not a curated record. The transcript is spliced from 3 exons.